Molecule: ribosomal RNA, 443 nt
Filed under: uncultured bacterium
Lineage: Bacteria
Description: partial 16S ribosomal RNA
Rfam family: Bacterial small subunit ribosomal RNA
Source: RNAcentral
CCUACGGGAGGCAGCAGUGGGGAAUAUUGCACAAUGGGCGAAAGCCUGAUGCAGCAACGCCGCGUGAAGGAAGAAGGGUUUCGGCUCGUAAACUUCUAUCAACAGGGACGAAAGAAAUGACGGUACCCGAAUAAGAAGCCCCGGCUAACUACGUGCCAGCAGCCGCGGUAAUACGUAGGGGGCAAGCGUUAUCCGGAAUUACUGGGUGUAAAGGGUGAGUAGGCGGCAUGGUAAGCCAGAUGUGAAAGCCUUGGGCUUAACCCGAGGAUUGCAUUUGGAACUAUGAAGCUAGAGUGCAGGAGAGGAAAGCGGAAUUCCUAGUGUAGCGGUGAAAUGCGUAGAUAUUAGGAAGAACACCAGUGGCGAAGGCGGCUUUCUGGACUGAAACUGACGCUGAGGCACGAAAGCGUGGGGAGCGAACAGGAUUAGAUACCCCAGUAGUC